RNAcentral lists this ribosomal RNA (1227 nucleotides) under metagenome. RNAcentral's name for it is "bacterial LSU rRNA". It matches the Rfam family "Bacterial large subunit ribosomal RNA", at positions 1562 to 2758 of the family's 2925-position model. The record is from RNAcentral.
ACUGAUGAGGGACACACGCGUGUGUGGACUUGUGGUGAUCCUAUGCUGCCGAGAAAAGCCUCGACGUGAGGGCAUGACCUGCCCGUACCCUAAACCGACUCAGGUGGUCAGGUAGAGUAUACCGAGGCGUUCGAGUGAAUCGUGGUUAAGGAACUCGGCAAAAUUCCUCCGUAACUUCGGGAUAAGGAGGACCCCGUGACUUCCCUCCGCUUCGCGCGGUGGUGGGGUUGUGGGGUCGCAGAGAAUAGGGAGAAGCGACUGUUUAUCAAAAACACAGGUGCGUGCGAAGCCGUAAGGCGAUGUAUACGCACUGACGCCUGCCCGGUGCUGGAAGGUUAAGAGGAACUGUUAACACCCCCCCCGGGGUGUGAAGCGGUGAAUUUAAGCCCCAGUAAACGGCGGUGGUAACUAUAACCAUCCUAAGGUAGCGAAAUUCCUUGUCGGGUAAGUUCCGACCUGCACGAAUGGCGUAACGACUUCUCCGCUGUCUCAACCGCGAACUCGGUGAAAUUGCAGUACGAGUAAAGAUGCUCGUUUCGCGCAGAAGGACGGAAAGACCCCGGGACCUUUACUAUAGCUUGGUAUUGGUGUUCGCUUGGACUUGUGUAGGAUAGGUGGGAGACUGUGAAGGCGCCGCGCCAGCGGUGGUGGAGUCGUCGUUGAAAUACCAUUCUGGUUCAAGCGGUCACCUUAACCUUGGCCCGUGAUCCGGGUUGGGGACAGUGCCUGGUGGGUAGUUUAACUGGGGCGGUUGCCUCCUAAAAUGUAACGGAGGCGCUCAAAGGUUCCCUCAGCCUGGUUGGUAAUCAGGUGGCGAGUGCAAGUGUACAAGGGAGCUUGACUGUGAGACCGACGGGUCGAGCAGGUGCGAAAGCAGGAACUAGUGAUCCGGCCAUGGCACGUGGGUGCGUGGUCGCUCAACGGAUAAAAGGUACCCCGGGGAUAACAGGCUGAUCUUGCCCAAGAGUCCAUAUCGACGGCAUGGUUUGGCACCUCGAUGUCGGCUCGUCGCAUCCUGGGGCUGGAGUUGGUCCCAAGGGUUGGGCUGUUCGCCCAUUAAAGCGGUACGCGAGCUGGGUUCAGAACGUCGUGAGACAGUUCGGUCCCUAUCCUCUGUGCGCGCAGGAAAUUUGAGGAGGGCCGUCCCUAGUACGAGAGGACCGGGAUGGACGAACCUCUGGUGUGCCAGUUGUACCGCCAGGUGCAUGGCUGGUUGGCUACGUUCGG